UGAAUACGAGAUGCUACGGCGUCGAAGCAGUCUAUGUCAUACUUCCAAGAAAAGCUCGCACUGUCAUAAACAAAUAAUGCCUGUACCAUAACCGACACAGGUGGGUAGGUAGAGUAUACUAAGGGGCGCGAGAUAACUCUCUCUAAGGAACUCGGCAAAAUGACUCCGUAACUUCGGGAGAAGGAGUGCCUUAUUUAUAAGGUUGCAAUAACAAGAUCCAAGCAACUGUUUAUCAAAAACACAGGUCUCCGCUAAGUCGUAAGACGAUGUAUGGGGGCUGACGCCUGCCCAGUGCCAGAAGGUUAAAGAAGUUGGUUAGCAUUCGCGAAGCUGAUAACUGAAGCCCUGGUGAACGGCGGCCGUAACUAUAACGGACCUAAGGUAGCGAAAUUCCUUGUCGGGUAAGUUCCGACCCGCACGAAAGGCGUAAUGAUUUGGAUACUGUCUCGGAGAGGGGCUCGGUGAAAUAGACUUGUCUGUGAAGAUGCGGACUACCUGCACCAGGACAGAAAGACCCUAUGAAGCUUUACUGUAACUUGAGAUUGAAAUUGGACUUUACUUGCGCAGUAUAGGUGGGAGGCGUUGAUAAUAUUCUUGCGGGAUUAUUUGAGCCAUCAGUGAGAUACCACUCUUGUAAUGUUAGAUUUCUAACUUUGUAUCAUUAUCUGGUCAAAGGACAGUUUCAGGCGGGCAGUUUGACUGGGGCGGUCGCCCCCUAAACGGUAACGGAGGCGCACAAAGGUUUCCUCUGAACGGGUAGAAAUCGUAUCUAGAGUGUAAAGGCAUAAGGAAGCUUGACUGUGAGACCUACAAGUCGAGCAGGGACGAAAGUCGGUCUUAGUGAUCUGACGGUGCUGAGUGGAAAGGCCGUCACUCAACGGAUAAAAGUUACUCUAAGGAUAACAGGCUGAUCUCCCCCAAGAGUUCACAUCGACGGGGAGGUUUGGCACCUCGAUGUCGGCUCAUCGCAUCCUGGGGCGGUAGUACGUCCCAAGGGUUGGGCUGUUCGCCCAUGAAAGCGGUACGCGAGCUGGGUUCAGAACGUCGUGAGACAGUUCGGUCCAUAUCCGGUGUAGGCGUUAGAAUAUUGAGAGGAGCCUUCUUUAGUACGAGAGGACCGAGAAGGACAUACCUCUGGUGUACCAGUUAUCGUGCCAACGGUAAACGCUGGGUAGCUAUGUAUGGAGUGGAUAACCGCUGAAAGCAUCUAAGUGGGAAGCCCACCUCAAGAUAAGUAUUCC
RNAcentral lists this ribosomal RNA (1241 nucleotides) under metagenome. Its description in RNAcentral is "bacterial LSU rRNA". It matches the Rfam family "Bacterial large subunit ribosomal RNA", at positions 1564 to 2814 of the family's 2925-position model. The record is from RNAcentral.